GGGAGCAGUUCUUGGUACUGUGAGUUUUUACAGACUAACCGAUGCUCUUUGUAAGGGCAGGCGCACUGAUGGAAGUUGUCCAUUAGAGGUCACUGAAGCUCCGCCAGUGAAGAAGUCUGAGCCCUGUCCUGCUGGGUUGGCUAUCGCUGCUUGCUUUUUUCUGCUGAGCAAAGGCCUCUUGCCCAAACUUCUCUUUCAAAAGCAGCCUCUUACAGUAUAAACUAGUGUCUUCAACUUCUUAAGCUGCUAACAAACUGACACUGCUGAACUUUCAGAAGCGCAUGAGCAUUGACCUCUAAUAGCGAACGACAGAGCCAAAAGGGACCUGAACUCUCACCUGACCUGAACUAUGAGACCUUUAUGAAC
Molecule: long non-coding RNA, 366 nt
Organism: Gallus gallus (chicken)
Lineage: Eukaryota; Metazoa; Chordata; Aves; Galliformes; Phasianidae
Source: Ensembl